UUCGCCCUUAGAGUUUGAUCCUGGCUCAGGAUGAACGCUACCUACAGGCUUAACACAUGCAAGUCGAGGGGCAGCGGGAUUGAAGCUUGCUUCAAUUGCCGGCGACCGGCGCACGGGUGAGUAACGCGUAUCCAACCUUCCGUACACUCAGGGAUAGCCUUUCGAAAGAAAGAUUAAUACCUGAUGGUAUGAUGAGAUUGCAUGAUAGCAUCAUUAAAGAUUUAUCGGUGUACGAUGGGGAUGCGUUCCAUUAGGUAGUAGGCGGGGUAACGGCCCACCUAGCCAACGAUGGAUAGGGGUUCUGAGAGGAAGGUCCCCCACAUUGGAACUGAGACACGGUCCAAACUCCUACGGGAGGCAGCAGUGAGGAAUAUUGGUCAAUGGACGAGAGUCUGAACCAGCCAAGUAGCGUGAAGGAUGAAGGUCCUACGGAUUGUAAACUUCUUUUAUAAGGGAAUAAACCCUCCCACGUGUGGGAGCUUGUAUGUACCUUAUGAAUAAGCAUCGGCUAACUCCGUGCCAGCAGCCGCGGUAAUACGGAGGAUGCGAGCGUUAUCCGGAUUUAUUGGGUUUAAAGGGAGCGCAGACGGGUCGUUAAGUCAGCUGUGAAAGUUUGGGGCUCAACCUUAAAAUUGCAGUUGAUACUGGCGUCCUUGAGUGCGGUUGAGGUGUGCGGAAUUCGUGGUGUAGCGGUGAAAUGCUUAGAUAUCACGAAGAACUCCGAUUGCGAAGGCAGCACACUAAUCCGUAACUGACGUUCAUGCUCGAAAGUGUGGGUAUCAAACAGGAUUAGAUACCCUGGUAGUCCACACGGUAAACGAUGGAUACUCGCUGUUGGCGAUAUACUGUCAGCGGCUUAGCGAAAGCGUUAAGUAUCCCACCUGGGGAGUACGCCGGCAACGGUGAAACUCAAAGGAAUUGACGG
This 925-nucleotide ribosomal RNA is filed under the name uncultured bacterium. RNAcentral's name for it is "bacterial SSU rRNA". It matches the Rfam family "Bacterial small subunit ribosomal RNA", at positions 1 to 916 of the family's 1533-position model. The record is from RNAcentral.